This 71-nucleotide transfer RNA is filed under the name Plakina jani. Its description in RNAcentral is "tRNA-Trp". It matches the Rfam family "tRNA". Rfam says of the family: Transfer RNA (tRNA) molecules are approximately 80 nucleotides in length. Lineage: Eukaryota; Metazoa; Porifera; Homoscleromorpha; Homosclerophorida; Plakinidae. The record is from RNAcentral.
AGGAGAUUAAGUUAAUGGUAAACUUAUAGCCUUCAAAGUUAUCAAUAUUGGUUCAAAUCCAAUAUCUCCUG